CCGCUCGCUUGGGCUCGGCGCGGACCCGCCCGGGCGCGCUCCUCCUGCCGGCUCCCGGCAUCCCACCGCCCUGCUCAGCGCUGGCCGGUGAUCCCUGCCGCCCGGGAGCAUCCAGUGUAGAAGCUCGCCCACCCGAGGUCGCGGUGGAAGUCUGGACCGCCAAGCUGUGUGACUUGUUUACUGGCAGGUAUUCCUCUGAUACAGUGGGUAAUGACUCUGCUCUUCAGCCUGAGAGUGGUUCAAAAUGUAAGUUCAGCCCGCUAAAUAAUUAAAUAUCGAUAACUCUGGAGAACUAUGCAUAACAGUUCUUCCCAUUUUCUGUCCUUCGGCCCAAGACUCUAGCUUCAUAAGAGCCUAGAAGGAGGUGAUAUCUUCUCCUGGGGCGAUGCGGAACCUAGACGAACAUUUCUUCAGUAUACGACAUUGUGACUAUAUGUGUGUCACCACAGCCAAUGAUGGGUGUCCUUCUCUGCCUCUCCCCACCA
This 485-nucleotide long non-coding RNA is filed under the name Ictidomys tridecemlineatus (thirteen-lined ground squirrel). RNAcentral's name for it is "lncRNA (ENSSTOG00000033708.1)". Lineage: Eukaryota; Metazoa; Chordata; Mammalia; Rodentia; Sciuridae. The record is from RNAcentral.